CGUGUUUUAUCACUGCUAAAAUAUUCUAAAUAUUAAAAUAUUAAAUUCAUUUAUUUGUAUACGUUUACAGAAAUAUAAGGAAUUCAUACAUAUUCAUUUAGCUUAGAUACCUGUGUUUUUAUAAAAAGUGUGUUAAUACAAGGAAAGUAAAUGAACUUGAAGACAUUAUUUAAACAAACAUUUAAAGAAAUGGAUUGAAAUAUUUGGAAUGGUAGCCAGAGGCGCAAAUUCAACUGGAAUUAACAAACGUAACUAAGACGUUUUCCAUUUGCAUUCGUGACGGGAGAAUGGAGGAGAUGGAAGGUCCUUGUGCUGAACUUUAGUAAAGGUUAUUGUGCUGAAUUUAGUCAAACAGAGACUACCAGAGGAAGUUGUGGGAGACUGGCAAUGAUGUACUGAACGAGCAUGGUGGAAAGACAACAUAGUCAAAUAGGGGUUUGUCAUAAGCCUAACUUGUGCAUAGCCUGCUUUGAUAGAGAGCCUACAGGAUAUUUUCAUCUAUGUGACCUUACCGCCUGUAUUCCUUGUACACUACAUAUUUUUUAAAAACAAUGUAGGAAGAAAUACUAGUACCCUAAAUGUGGGAUUAAAAUUGAAGCUAUCAGAAACGUUUAUAACUAGAAAGUAUUUGAUAAUAUAAUAGCAAUUCUGACAUGAUUAAGGUAGAUACUUAUGAGCAGAAAGCAUUUUAAGUUGAACUGUUUACUUCUUUCGAUGUAGGACACAAUGGAGAAUUGUUAACAUACUUCUUGAAUUUGGAAUAUUAGAAACCGAUGCGUCUUUGAAAUUUAGUUAUACUUUGAACAGUAUUGGAUAUAAAGGCAACAUCAAUGUUAAGUUAUUGACAUCUUAUUUUUAUAUAACGUUGAACCAGCUAUAAAGAUUCAACCAUGGCUACAUCUUGUAUCUACUAAUUUACAUGACAUUUUUCUUUGUUUAUAUUGUACAAAGUGCCACUUACAUGAAAAAACCUGUAAAGAUACAUAAUAUUAUGAAGAUUUUGUUUCCUAAUAUUUGCUGUAUUAGGUAAAGGCAAUAUCUAUAAUGUUGUUUUUGAAUCAUAAUAUAUCAGGUGAACAAGAAUAAAAGUUGAGUAAAAGUCUCCCCGUACA
This is a long non-coding RNA of Mercenaria mercenaria, 1112 nucleotides long. RefSeq lists it as uncharacterized. Lineage: Eukaryota; Metazoa; Mollusca; Bivalvia; Venerida; Veneridae. The record is from RefSeq and is a predicted model, not a curated record. The transcript has 4 exons.